Long non-coding RNA from Neofelis nebulosa (Clouded leopard), 2635 nucleotides. RefSeq lists it as uncharacterized. The transcript is spliced from 3 exons. Lineage: Eukaryota; Metazoa; Chordata; Mammalia; Carnivora; Felidae. The record is from RefSeq and is a predicted model, not a curated record.
ACUCUUCUGACCUCAUAGCCACCAAGAGGGGUUGGUGGCCAGUUGAUUCUGCUGCAGCAGUUGGCACACGACCCCGUUCCCCGCCAAGCCUGGGACUGUCAAAGAAAGGGAUCACGUAGACUCCAUAGGGCUCAAAAGCUGCCAAGACCCUGGUGGCCCUCCGCUUGCUCCUAUGCCAAGGGAUGGGCAGUGAAUGCCUAGUCAACAUGAAGAACCUCAGACAGAUGUGACUCUGCCCAGAGCCAGGCCGGGGCAGCCACCAGCCUGAUCCCUCUACGUGCCCCCCCCCCCCUGCCCAGCCCAGUCUGGCCUGAUGCCCCCGAGGUCCGUGCGCCUGCUUCCCGUCCUCACUCUGCUCCUCCCGCAGCAGCGCCUUCUACCACGCAUGCGCUCCGCCCCUCCCUCUGUCACGGUGCCACUGGCUUUCUGUCACGCUCCCCAUUUCUGUCCCAAGGGUUACAAGUAAACUGCCACCCGAGGUUGCUAAAUUUGUUCACUCUUUUUUACGGUUUCCUCUACUGAGGUCACGUUGGCAGCUGUUUCCCUAUUUAGGAACUUAAAUGCAAUCUUCCGGUGGGUAUCCUGGGAAGCUAUUCUGUGCAGCACCACGCCGCCACCGGUGACUCCUCUUCCUCCCUCCACCUGCUCUGUGCUCUACAGACAACAGUUAGUCCCUCACUGCUUCCGGCCCCAGGUAGGCCUGCCUUUCAGUUCACCGGAGCUCUCCUGCCGGGAGUCACGGACAAACACCUCAUUCCCUCCUCGCUGGGAACUGGAUGCAAAUAUGGGCAGGUGUGAACCCUAGAUGUGAACUUGAGCCCGUUGGAAGGUACGUUUCUAAGGUGCAAGCCCAUUCUGAAGGAUCAUCCAGGACAUGUCUUCCCUGGAGAGCCCCACGGUAGCAGACACUUGCCUCCUGAAGGGUUGAAGACAGGUUGUAAUGGAGGCAUUGGCUGGACUGUAUUCCCACUGGGAGGCUCAACUGGACAAGAGCCUGUUUCCAAGCUCCCUCAGAUGAUGGUGGAAUUUUUUUAUUUGCAGCCGUAUGUCUGAAAUCCCUGAUUUCUUGGUUGCUAUCCACUGGGGACCAUUUUCAGCUCCCUGAAGCCACACUCACGUCCCUGCCAAGUUCACAGGCCCACCCUCCAUAGAGAGCUCACAGCAAGACUGUUGACUUCAGAGUCAGCAGGAGCACCUCUCUGGCUUUAUAUCUCCCUUUAGGAAAGCUAUCGUUCCUCUUUCAAGGUUCACUUGAUUAGGCCAGGCCCACCCUUUUUGAUGAACUCCUAGUCAACUGAUUAGUAAUCCUUUCAUAGCAGUAAAACCCUAUCAUGGUCACAGGUCCUGCCCACACUCAAGGGGAGGCAAUUAUACAGGGUAUAUAAACCAGGGGAUGGGAAUCUUGGGGGCCCAUCUUUGAAUUCAGCUUAUCACACUGGAAAAUGUCAAGCACUUCCCUACUUUUAAUCUCCUUGGAGCAGGAGAUCAGGUAUAAACUUUACAGAUUUACAGAGGUUAAAAAAAAAAAAAAAAAAAAAAGACUGAGAAGCCAGAGUGAUUUGGUUCUAGCCACAGAGUUAAGAAGUAGUUGGAUUGGAAGUGGUCAUCAGAGCUUUCCAAAGGUAAAGGGAAAUAAGCAGUAACAAAUAUAGACAUUCAUGAAAAUAAGUUAUGUGAUCAUACGUGGUGCUACAGGCUCUGAUGGAAAGAAGAAAGGAAGAGCAAAGAUGGGAAAUUAUGACUAAUGAACCCACGUCCUGCUGUAGGAGGCCAUUCUGGACCUACUGGAAACAAUGCCAGUAAAGAACAUGAGCUGUCCGUCUGAUGUCAGAGAGAAUAACAGGCAUCUGGGGCGUGAUUGCUAUAUUUAAAAGAGGGAAUUCACAGCAACUUUCAAAGGUGAAUGGACGAGUUGGCACAGGUCUCCCGAAAAGACCAAACAGGAGCUAGAGAGAUCGCCACUGAGACCCUGAAGUUUUCUCUAGCUCGACCCUUCCUGUUCUUCCCUUCACAGCUCAGAGACCAGCCUGUCUCCUAAGGAAUCGUUCUGUGACAGGCUUAUCAAAGAGACCUUGAGCUUAUGUCCAGCCAACUAUAUUAUUUCCUGUAUCAUCAGUCUGAAAUUUUCCCUGAAGACGUUUUUUUAAUUUUUUUUUUUUUUAUGAGUUUUAUGUAGUUAAGUAAUAAUCUGUACACCCAACCUGGGGCUUGAACUCACAACCGUGAGAUCAAAAGUUGUAUGCUCUACCAACUGAGCCAGCCAGGCACCCCUCCCCCAAAAGAUUUAGAUAUUUAGAUUUUAAAAGGUAGGAUAUCGAGGGGGCGCCUGGGUGGCUCAUUCGGUCGAGCGUCCAACUCUUGAUCUCGGCUCAGGGCAUGAUCUCACGGUUCGUGAGAUUGAGCCCAAGUCAAGGCUCUGUGCUGUCAGCAUGAAGCCUGCUUGGGAUUCUUUGUCUCCCUUUGUCUCUGCCCUUUCCUCGCUCAUUCCCACUCUCUCUCGAAAUAAAUAAAUAAAAUCUUAUAAAAAAAAAAAAGCUAGGAUAUAGAAUGGUAAAAGGGUUAAGGUUCUCAAUGAUACAGCUUGAUAUUCUGCAAAUAACAAAAUUUUGUUUUUCAAGAAUAUACAAGUAAAAGC